This 493-nucleotide ribosomal RNA is filed under the name uncultured bacterium. Its description in RNAcentral is "partial 16S ribosomal RNA". It matches the Rfam family "Bacterial small subunit ribosomal RNA", at positions 29 to 499 of the family's 1533-position model. The record is from RNAcentral.
AACUAACGCUGGCGGCGUGCCUAAUACAUGCAAGUCGAACGCGAAAGUCCUUCGGGAUGAGUAGAGUGGCGCACGGGUGAGAAACACGUGGGUAAUCUGCCCAGAAGUGGGGAAUAACUCCUCGAAAGAGGAGCUAAUACCGCAUAAGACCACGACAACUAAGGUUGUUGGGGUUAAAGGUGACCUCUGUUUACAAGUUAUCGUUUCUGGAUGAGCCUGCGCAACAUUGGCUAGUUGGUGGGGUAAUGGCCUACCAAGGCUACGAUGUUUAGCUGGUCUGAGAGGAUGAUCAGCCACACUGGAACUGAGACACGGUCCGGACUCCUACGGGAGGCAGCAGUAGGGAAUAUUGCUCAAUGGGGGAAACCCUGAAGCAGCAACGCCGCGUGAGUGAUGAAGGCCUUCGGGUCGUAAAGCUCUGUUGUACGGGGAGAACGUGGGUAUGGCUAACAUCCAUAUCCAGUGACGGUACCGUAUAAGAAAGGGACGGCUA